GCCUAGCUCAGUAGGUAGAGUAGUGGUUUUGUAAACCGAAGGUCGCCGGUUCAGGUCCGACCG
Molecule: transfer RNA, 63 nt
Filed under: Rhizobium sp. 60-20
Lineage: Bacteria; Pseudomonadati; Pseudomonadota; Alphaproteobacteria; Hyphomicrobiales; Rhizobiaceae
Description: tRNA-Thr
Rfam family: tRNA
About the family: Transfer RNA (tRNA) molecules are approximately 80 nucleotides in length.
Source: RNAcentral